AGCGAGGCAUUACCAUCUUGACAUGACCCGUCUUCAAAUAAUUGGUAAAACCGUAGCUUCCUCCAAUGAAUGGAGCGCGGCAAGAGAGUUUGGUUACUUGUCACCUCGCUAGUGCAUUUGCCUACCUUGAGAGGAAACUGGAAUUUUAGUGAGAUUUUACUUAACUGGUUGCAGCGUAGAUUCAUGACCACUAGCAAGAGAGUGCAAGAUAGGAGCAAGGACAACUGGAGUUUUAGUGAGAUUUUGAUGGAAAUGUUGAAGAAGGAACCCGAGAUGAUAAU
Molecule: long non-coding RNA, 281 nt
Filed under: Eucalyptus grandis
Lineage: Eukaryota; Viridiplantae; Streptophyta; Magnoliopsida; Myrtales; Myrtaceae
Description: long non-coding RNA (EGRA_LNC000561)
Source: RNAcentral